Molecule: ribosomal RNA, 404 nt
Filed under: uncultured bacterium
Lineage: Bacteria
Description: bacterial SSU rRNA
Rfam family: Bacterial small subunit ribosomal RNA
Source: RNAcentral
GCACCGGCUAACUACGUGCCAGCAGCCGCGGUAAUACGUAGGGUGCGAGCGUUGUCCGGAAUUAUUGGGCGUAAAGAGCUUGUAGGCGGUUUGUCGCGUCUGCUGUGAAAAUCCGGGGGCUCAACCCCGGACUUGCAGUGGGUACGGGCAGACUAGAGUGUGGUAGGGGAGACUGGAAUUCCUGGUGUAGCGGUGGAAUGCGCAGAUAUCAGGAGGAACACCGAUGGCGAAGGCAGGUCUCUGGGCCACUACUGACGCUGAGAAGCGAAAGCAUGGGGAGCGAACAGGAUUAGAUACCCUGGUAGUCCAUGCCGUAAACGUUGGGCGCUAGGUGUGGGGCUCAUUCCACGAGUUCCGUGCCGCAGCUAACGCAUUAAGCGCCCCGCCUGGGGAGUACGGCCGCA